RNAcentral lists this ribosomal RNA (253 nucleotides) under uncultured cyanobacterium. RNAcentral describes it as "partial 16S ribosomal RNA". It matches the Rfam family "Bacterial small subunit ribosomal RNA", at positions 524 to 776 of the family's 1533-position model. The record is from RNAcentral. Lineage: Bacteria; Bacillati; Cyanobacteriota.
UACGGGGGGUGCAAGCGUUGUCCGGAAUCAUUGGGCGUAAAGAGUUCGUAGGCGGCACGUAAAGUCUGGUGUUAAAGGCAGAGGCUCAACUUCUGUACGGCACUGGAUACUUGCGAGCUAGAAUGCGGUAGAGGUAAAGGGAAUUCCUGGUGUAGCGGUGAAAUGCUUAGAUAUCAGGAGGAACAUCGGUGGCGUAAGCGGCUCUCUGGUCUGUAACUGACGCUGAGGUUCGAAAGCGUGGGUAGCAAACAGG